CAGUCGCCGCGGUAAUACGAAGGGGGCUAGCGUUGUUCGGAUUUACUGGGCGUAAAGGGCGCGUAGGCGGGCGAAUAAGUCAGGGGUGAAAUCCCAAGGCUCAACCUUGGAACUGCCUUUGAUACUGUUUGUCUUGAGUUCGAGAGAGGUAAGUGGAACUGCGAGUGUAGAGGUGAAAUUCGUAGAUAUUCGCAAGAACACCAGUGGCGAAGGCGGCUUACUGGCUCGAAACUGACGCUGAGGCGCGAAAGCGUGGGGAGCAAACAGGAUUAGAGACCCCCGUAGUCCCUGUCUCUUAUAC
Molecule: ribosomal RNA, 301 nt
Filed under: uncultured bacterium
Lineage: Bacteria
Description: partial 16S ribosomal RNA
Rfam family: Bacterial small subunit ribosomal RNA
Source: RNAcentral